AUGGCUGGAGGGCUAUUGGACUUCUGGAAUGAGUGGGCGUCCCAGAUCGGGGUUCUCUUAAGCCUUUUCUUCUAGAUCGUACUCCAUAUCUUUGCCAACAUCCGUCGGCAUAAAGGCAUCUCAUAUUGGCUGAGGUUCCCCCUCUGGGUGGCGUACCAGCUGUCUGACUCCACUGCGACAUACGCCGCCGGCCAGCUCCUCUUCAGCGGGGCAACAAAAGACCACCACCUCAUUGCCUUCUGGGUGUCGUUCCUCCUGCUACACCUCGGCGACCCGGAUAACAUCACCGCCCACACCCUCGAGGAUAGCAAGCUCUGGGGGCUCCACUUGCUAAGCCUUCUGGUGCAGGUCCUGGGAGCUGGAUAUGUCCUUUACAGGCAUAUCAUCGGCAGCGGGACCUUGCUCAUGGUGGUUGCCUUCUUGAUAUCUGUUGUUGGUGUUGGAAAGUAUGCAAAGAGGACAUGGGCGCUCCGGUCCGCCAAGUUCAGCAACCUCUAGAGCUCUCUCAAGGUACGGACCCAUGACUUGCAUCACCAGCAAUUUUACACUGAGUAUCAAGAAAAUCAAAACUGUGAUCAAGACUGGUACAACGAUGGCGACCUAGUCCUACAGCAUGCUCACUCCUUGUUUCAUAUCUGCAAGCGUGGGAUAGUUGAUUGCGUGAUCGCAGUGGAUGACUCAGAUAGCGAGAAUGAGGUGGAUUCUCUAGACAUCAAAAAAAUCCAGGGCCUUUUGGAAGACCGGGAACAAAUGUGGAGGGUGAUGGAGAUGGAGCUCUCCCUCAUGUAUGAUAUCCUAUACACUAAGGCAAGUGCGGUCCACUCUUGGUUUGGCUACUGCAUCCGUGUCAUCGCACCGCUUGCCAUUGCCACCUCUCUUGUGUUGUUCUAG
This 891-nucleotide ribosomal RNA is filed under the name Triticum aestivum (bread wheat). RNAcentral's name for it is "partial small subunit ribosomal RNA". Lineage: Eukaryota; Viridiplantae; Streptophyta; Magnoliopsida; Poales; Poaceae. The record is from RNAcentral.